This is a long non-coding RNA of Amphimedon queenslandica, 328 nucleotides long. RefSeq lists it as uncharacterized. The record is from RefSeq and is a predicted model, not a curated record. The transcript is spliced from 3 exons. Lineage: Eukaryota; Metazoa; Porifera; Demospongiae; Haplosclerida; Niphatidae.
UAUUAUUUUAUCAUUAUUUUUAAUUAUAGACUAAUAUACCAAAGAGUGUCACUAAUAGAUGGGGUCAUUCUCUCUCAGUUUGGAAUGAGACACAGACCACUCACUGGAUAAUUGAGUUUGGAGGAAGGCCGAGAGGUGUUGGCUCAAUAAUCAAUGAUACAGCAUUUAUUGAAAUCAUAUCUAGUACUGGUGAUUUGGUAGUACAAUCAGUACUGGACAUUAAAGAAUAUCAGAAGAGAAGAAUACAAGAUGCUGUAGGGAAGUGGAUGGAGGAAGGGAGUAUUGAUCUAACUGUUACUCGUGUUAAUAUGCUUGGUGCUCCUGGAGC